AGUGUUAUAAUAUACCAGCACAUACAGUACUAAUCUAUACACCUGCAAUAUACCAACACAUGCACAUACAGUACUAAUACAUGAUGCCCCUA
This 92-nucleotide small RNA is filed under the name Spisula solidissima (Atlantic surf clam). The record is from RNAcentral. Lineage: Eukaryota; Metazoa; Mollusca; Bivalvia; Venerida; Mactridae.